CCUACGGGAGGCAGCAGUGGGGGAUUUUGGACAAUGGGCGCAAGCCUGAUCCAGCAAUGCCGCGUGCAGGAUGAAGGCCUUCGGGUUGUAAACUGCUUUUGUACGGAACGAAACGGUCCUUUCUAAUACAAGGGGCUAAUGACGGUACCGUAAGAAUAAGCACCGGCUAACUACGUGCCAGCAGCCGCGGUAAU
Molecule: ribosomal RNA, 194 nt
Filed under: uncultured Banisveld landfill bacterium BVB78
Lineage: Bacteria
Description: partial 16S ribosomal RNA
Rfam family: Bacterial small subunit ribosomal RNA
Source: RNAcentral